This is a long non-coding RNA of Zonotrichia leucophrys gambelii, 468 nucleotides long. RefSeq lists it as uncharacterized. The record is from RefSeq and is a predicted model, not a curated record. The transcript is spliced from 3 exons. NCBI's taxonomy places the organism in Eukaryota, Metazoa, Chordata, Aves, Passeriformes, Passerellidae.
GUGAAUCUCUGUGUGUAAAAGACAUUCCUGUUAGCAGGAGCAAAGAACAGGACCUCGCACUUCUCUGCUUCAGACUGCCUGACAUGCUUACUCUGAAGUUGAUGGAUAUGCUGCAAAUCUUUGCUCCCAAAACUGCUGCUUCCUCAGACAGCUUUGAAAAAAAAAAUCAAAAAAACCACCACAAAUAUCAAGGCAGCAUGCAGGGAGGAAGGACACUGGCAAAGAAGAGAGAAGUAAAAGAGAUGUCAGUGCCAGGAUGGAGCUCCUCUUCCAAGGCAUAAGAUUGAAUACAUUUGCUGCGUUGCAGAACGAGGAGGGAAAUGUCACCUUCAGAGGUGAUCUGACAAUCACAAAAAUAAAUUACAUAGAGGAGAGGAAAAAAAAUUCACAACAAGACGAGCAUUUGUGAAUAUUCAUGAGCAAGUCAAAACCCCCAAAUUAACAAGGAAAUUAAUUUCCAAACUGAUU